Long non-coding RNA from Numida meleagris (helmeted guineafowl), 667 nucleotides. RefSeq lists it as uncharacterized. The record is from RefSeq and is a predicted model, not a curated record. NCBI's taxonomy places the organism in Eukaryota, Metazoa, Chordata, Aves, Galliformes, Numididae. The transcript is spliced from 3 exons.
GCAAUUUUCUAGGUAUUCUGGGGUGAAUUAUUUCCUGAGCUUUUGUUCCAAAGUCAUGGAUAGAACAAGGAUAAUGGAAAUGCUCUGGUGAAGAAACUAGGAAAGAAUCCCAGGGCUGGGUCAGUCUCCACGAGCUGGAUGAGCCACCGUCGUGCUUCAGAAUCAGCUACGCUCCUUUAAGAUAUUGGUGGGGGAUUAAAUGAUUGAGCACAGCCCUGCCGAAAAAGACAUGGGGGUACUGGUGGAUGAGAAGCUGGACAUGAGCCAGCAAUGUGCCCUUACUGCCCAGAAAGCCAGUGUAUCAAAAGCAGCGUGGUCAGCUGGGAGGUGAUCCUGUCCCUCUACUCUGCUCUGCUGAGGCCUCACCUGGAGUACUGUGUCCAGAUGUGGAGUCCUCAGCACAGGAGAGACAUGGACCUGUUGGAGCGCAUACAGAGGAGGGCCACAAAAAUAAUCCAAGGGAUGGAACACCUCUCUUACAAGAGCAGGAUGAGAAAGCUGGAGCUCUUCAGCGUGGAGAAGACAAGGCUCCGGGGACACCUGAUAGGGGCCUUUCAGUGUCUGAAGGGGACCUACAGGAAAGAAGGGGACAGAUUCUUUAUCAGGGUCUGUGGUGACAGAGCAAGGGGAAAUGGUUUCAAACUUAAAGAGGUGAGAUUUAGAUUGG